This 324-nucleotide ribosomal RNA is filed under the name uncultured eukaryote. Its description in RNAcentral is "partial 18S ribosomal RNA". It matches the Rfam family "Eukaryotic small subunit ribosomal RNA", at positions 1470 to 1796 of the family's 1831-position model. The record is from RNAcentral.
CCCUUAGAUGUCCUGGGCCGCACGCGCGCUACACUGACAUGUUCAACAAGUUUCUCCUAGUUCGACAGGACUGGGAAAUCUUUGAACGCAUGUCGUGAUAGGGAUAGAUCAUUGCAAUUAUUGAUCUUGAACGAGGAAUUCCUAGUAAACGCGAGUCAUCAGCUCGCAUUGAUUACGUCCCUGCCCUUUGUACACACCGCCCGUCGCACCUACCGAUUGAAUGGUCCGGUGAAGCCUCGGGAUUGUGGCUGGUUUCCUUUAUUGGAGGUCGGUUGCGAGAACUUGUCUAAACCUUAUCAUUUAGAGGAAGGUGAAGUCGUAACA